This 467-nucleotide ribosomal RNA is filed under the name uncultured bacterium. Its description in RNAcentral is "partial 16S ribosomal RNA". It matches the Rfam family "Bacterial small subunit ribosomal RNA", at positions 28 to 507 of the family's 1533-position model. The record is from RNAcentral.
GAUGAACGCUGACAGAAUGCUUAACACAUGCAAGUCCACUUGAAUUUGGGUUUUUAACUCCGGUUUGGGUGGCGGACGGGUGAGUAACGCGUAAAGAACUUGCCUCACAGCUAGGGACAACAUUUGGAAACGAAUGCUAAUACCUAAUAUUAUGAUAAUAGGGCAUCCUAUAAUUAUGAAAGCUAUAAGCGCUGUGAGAGAGCUUUGCGUCCCAUUAGCUAGUUGGAGAGGUAACGGCUCACCAAGGCGAUGAUGGGUAGCCGGCCUGAGAGGGUGAUCGGCCACAAGGGGACUGAGACACGGCCCUUACUCCUACGGGAGGCAGCAGUGGGGAAUAUUGGACAAUGGACCGAGAGUCUGAUCCAGCAAUUCUGUGUGCACGAUGAAGUUUUUCGGAAUGUAAAGUGCUUUCAGUUGGGAAGAAACAAAUGACGGUACCAACAGAAGAAGUGACGGCUAAAUACGUG